Long non-coding RNA from Tyto alba (common barn owl), 4202 nucleotides. RefSeq lists it as uncharacterized. The record is from RefSeq and is a predicted model, not a curated record. NCBI's taxonomy places the organism in Eukaryota, Metazoa, Chordata, Aves, Strigiformes, Tytonidae. The transcript has 2 exons.
AAGACCACACUGGAAAAUGAAUUGUGCUGUCUUGGCUAACUACUUCUGCUAAGCUUCAAUAGGCUUACGAAACAGACAUGCAGAACCCAGGACCCUGCAGUCACCUUCAGGACUGUUCUAGUCUUACUUUAUGCUGAGGGAGAGCAAAUACUAGUUGCUAUUACUCUAACAAACCCCCAGCUGCUGCUCUUGCAAUCAAAACAAAUGUAAAGCAACUGACUCUUGUCACCAACAUUUUUCACCCUUGUUAUUAGUGGCUUUGACCGAAGAAGUUGAGGAAGCUGAAUCACCAUAGCUCAAUGUUAACAUUGUUUACAUGACCAUGAGCAGCGAGAACUUCUUCUGAAAAACUUAAGCAAAUGGUUUCUUCUGUCUGCAAUGGACAGAGGCUAUUCCCACAUGGGUAAAAAACCCUGUAAUUUCACAGAGGUGCUACAAUAAAACUAUUUUAAGAUUUAAAGCAGGUGGGAAAGCAACCCUCUACAAUGCAGUUACAACUCUUUCUCCACUCUCUUUAAAAACAGGCUCCACAAAUAAUUCUGUAAUGUGUGUAUGGCUGUGGAGUUUUUCUUUUUUAAACUCUACAUUAUGUCGUGAAUUUGUGUCGUGUUUUGCUGUGACAGUCCUUCAGAGGGUAUCUCGGAAUUAAUCUAUAAAACAUCUUAGCUUCUCAGUUGCACAAUUAAAACGUCAAAAUUAUCUACCGCCCACGCUGCAUCGUGCCAAGUUAGAGAAGCUGAAGCUCCCAUUAAAAGGGGAAAGGGGACUUUCAGCACAACUGGAAAUGUGGCCGCUGACACCUUCCACUCUGGACAGGCUUGAGGCCACAGCUGCCCAGAGCCCCCGGCACCCCUCGCCCCGCGGAGCUCCAGGGACCCGUGGCCGCACCACGUUGCAGCGUGGCAGACCUGGCCACCUCUGUUAAUGCUUCUGCCAGAGGACCCCACGCAGCAUGCCCGAGACAAGGGGGUGCGCCACCCAGGUGGGCAAAGCCUCAAGACACCCAGAGAGGAUCUGUGAAGUGCCAGCUGCGGAGAGUCAAGCCACUUCCAGGAUCACCCAGAUGGAGUAGGAGGCAGCGUGAUGAUUAUCUGCAUCAUCGCUUCCUCUAAAAGGAUAUUAAUACUGCCUCUUGAGCAGUAUUACAAGCCAGCAGCAAGGCAUAAUUCAUACUGAUGGUAGCUCUGGCCAAUUUUUCUCCAUUUGGGAGUUGGAUGUGAUGGGGUCCUGAAAUCUGACUUCGGACAAGUUUUGCUCUGAUGUGUCCCCUGCCUUUCUCCAUGUGAAAUGUUCAUUUACUGACACGGUGUUGCCUCUCCACGCCCAGCAUCGUGGCACGCUUCCUCCUCGCUGCCUGCUUUCCUUUGUGAAGAUUUCCUGUCUACUGGCACACGGAUGGAUGCUUUGGGCAUUAAGCAGUGCCCUCACUCUGGCCUAUAAACCUCAUGGGAAAGUCAGCUAGCCGGGGUAGGAGUCAUCUUGUAUGGGCCCCAUUUCUGUAUGAUAAAGGUGAAGGAAAUAAUUAAAAUUUCUCCCUUGAUGCCCAUCUCCUAAAGCAGGUAUCUUCAGCUACCCCAACGCAUCCUUUUUUUCUCUUCUAUAAGGUGACAUGUAAAUAGUUACUCUUUCUAAAAAAGAAAUGAGAGGACACUUGCUCUAUGACAACGUAUUUGCUCUUAAAAGACCACCAAGUGGACAAUGGCCAGGAAUAUCAAACAGGUAAGAUUAAUACCCAUCGGCUUAAUGUUCAUCGGAUCACAAACCAAAGUUUAGCGUGGAAGAUAUUCCUAAAGGAGAGGAACACUAAGACUCACGUUUUGUACUUGGUGCCGAGCAAACAAAUGCACCGACCUGCACACUGUGAACGACCACUGCUGCUCUUGGAAUCUGGCGAGGAAAGAGCAGAAGCCUGAAAGCGGGGUGCAGUAGAAACUAGGGAGGUUCAGAGGGAACUGUUUAUGGAGAGAGAGACGAGGUGGGCAAAAAAUGGAGUUCCGGCUCCUGAGUGUUUUCUUCUAGGCAACUGCUCCGGUUCGGAGCUGGCGGGUGAGGCCGUUGUCUCGCAGGCACGCUGCCCCCCGCUCCCGGCCCCCCUCCCACCUGCCCUCGCGCCUCCUCCCCAGGUUGGGGCUCCCUGCACGGCUGCGCCUGGCGCCAGGCAGGCCCCUUGCCUCCCGGCUCUCCAGCACCAGCUACUUCCACGCCUCCAUAAGCAUUUGAUGUUAAAGCUGGGACAUGAAGAGCCCUUUCCACACUGGGACAAGUCCCCUGAAAAAUCAAAGUUGCUGUUUUGCAUUACCAUUUAAGCCACUAGUGGCCUAAGGAAGCUUGCCAGUCAGCAGCCACCAGUGAGGUAUUUCUCGCACGAAGCCCGUCUCCUAAAUGAUCGACCGCUCCUCCACCGCCCAUUUGCUCUGUGGGAGGUGGAUUUUCAGGGGACCGGGCUGAUCUGCAACGCGAUCGGUGCGAUACGACGGUGACACAAGUUUGGCAACUGCUUUGUGAGAUUCGGGUAGUAUCACGUAAAAAAUGGUUCUCAGAUUCUGCACACAGACAGGUUUAUGUAAAAUAUAUAUAAACAUUUGUCCAAGUUGUUACAGGUUGCAUAAAUAUGGCAUUUUUACUGUUGCAUUUACAGAUGUGCAUGUACAAUGAUGUGCAAAUAAUCACAAUUUGAUUACAAUCUUUGAAAGGUACUUGAACCUUGCAUCCAAGUAACGCAGUGAAUGAAAAAUGCCCACCAAAGGAUUUAAAUAGCAAACUUAGAGCACGGUUUAAAUUCAUAACAAAUUUCAAUGUCUUCUCAGUAAAACUUUCACACAUUUAAAAUAGUUUGUAUUCAUUUUAUUUGUAUAUGUCAAAAUACAAUUUUUUUUUUUUUCCAAAAUAGUGGGUUUUGCAACUAGUUUCAUGCAGAUACAAGGUCUGCUCAGUACUACCAAUAAAAUCAAUAUAGCACAGUAGCCAUUCAUUUUUUUAGAUAUAAAGAAUAAAUAACCUAAAUAUAAAACACUAAAAUAUUAGAAACACGUAUUUAAUCAUUCACAGGCACCCAAACUUUACCAAAUAAAAUCCAGAAUAUGCCUAACUGUCUUGUAACAGAACUCAAUAUGUUGCAGCCAUUCAAUUCUUUAUUUUAUGUUAGCCUAAGACAAUGGAAGUUCCUAUGGUUCAGACCCACCUCUCAUACAGAUCAAUUACAAUAAGAUAUCUCAAACUAUCUGUGUACCUUUAAAAUCAAGAAUCCUGAGCUUGGUAGUAAGAGCAUAACCUUACAUCUUCAAAAAACCAAUCAACAGAGAGAGGACAUCAUGUCUUCCUUACCAAAACAUAUCCCACCCCCGCAAAACUAACCCCCAUCCCCCCAGUAGGCAGUAGAACACAAUGACCUUUUUAAAUGAAGGGGUACAAAUUCACAUUUAAUAUAGUAUACAAUAUAAUCAAUAAUACAAUAGCUACUACAAGCUUUACAAUGUACAAUUUGUUUUAAUGGCUGAUCUGUUCAGUGGUUUUAGGCAAUAAACUAUGUGCCAAUAGGAUGUUGUAUUUUGAAUGGUUUAGUGAAAAUAUAAAAGCUGUUUCUAACAAAAGCGAUCUUCACUUAAGUACUUUUUUGUUUUUAAAGGCCACUGAAAUGUAUAAAAUGGUCUGACAUGUCGCCGUUAUCAAAUUGGAUGCCUUCUCACAUGGCAACAACAGUGCAUAUAAACAUUAAUGUGAGUGUAAUGGGUUAUGUUUUUCAAAUGAUUUAGUACAUUACUUUGGCUAGCACAACAGUUUUGGACAGCACUCAGAUAAAUACAGGUAUGUGAAAUGUAGUGAAGCAGUUAUAUUUAUGCAAUUUUUAUUAUGGUGAACACUAUCAAAUGAAAAAAAAAUGGGAGGAAAAGAUAAUAAAGUAUUUUAUAUAGUUUAGACCUUUUGUAAAGAUAGGGCUCCAUACAAUGUACAAUGUCUAAAUUCUUUAUACCAUAAAAAUUAAUGAACUUUGUUAAACACACUAUUCUGGAGUAGCCUAAUUUGCAUUAACAGACAUUUGCAAUAGGGAAAUAUAUUCAAGCAUGCCACGUGGUGGUCUGAAAAAUCAAACCAGUACACAUUUAUAUAUACAGCAUCACUCAGUACCUGCUCAAAUGAAUGUGACGAUUACAGGAUCUAACAUCUUUCACUACAAACUUUUUUUUUUUUUUUAAAGUGACCAA